CCCUUAGAUGUUCUGGGCUGCACGCGCGUUACACUGAUGCAUUCAACGAGCUUAUAACCUUGGCCGAGAGGCCCGGGCAAUCUUGUUAACGUGCAUCGUGAUAGGGAUAGAUUAUUGAAAUUAUUAAUCUUGAACGAGGAAUUCCUAGUAAACGCAGAUCAUCAAUCUGCAUUGAUUACGUCCCUGCCCUUUGUACACACCGCCCGUCGCACCUACCGAUUGGAUGGUCCGGUGAAGCCUCGGGAUUGUGGUUCUUGCCGCUUUAUUGUGGCGUGACCGCGAGAACUUGUCUAAACCUUAUCAUCUAGAGGAAGGUGAAGUCGUAACA
RNAcentral lists this ribosomal RNA (328 nucleotides) under uncultured eukaryote. Its description in RNAcentral is "partial 18S ribosomal RNA". It matches the Rfam family "Eukaryotic small subunit ribosomal RNA", at positions 1470 to 1796 of the family's 1831-position model. The record is from RNAcentral.